AAAAAUAACGUUUUCAUCGGAUUUAACGUCUCAUUUCUCAUUACACAAAUGAAUUGAGUACACGUGUUCCACUUUUCCUAUUUUAUUGUGGUGUUAUAAUGAUGAUGAUGCAUUAGAAAAAAUCUCGAGAGAAAAUCUCUACAGUUGCAAAUGCCAACAUGUCUGUACAAUCUAAAAAUAAUUACAUCAAGUCUGCCAUUAUUGUGAAGAAAUAAUUUGUUAUACAUUAAUUUUAACAAUAUAAAACAAUCAAUAACACAAAUUUUCACACAUUUUAAGAUGCCAAACUUAGCCCUGUUUGGCCUCAUUAAAUUAUAAUUUAUUUUUCUCUUUUUUUUUUUUUUUUAUCAGUUACGCAUUUAAAAAAAAUAAAAAUAUUACACUUUAAUUCUGAAGUAAUUCAUCUAAAUCUUGAUCCAUGUCAGGUACCUGAUUACGCCAGCACUGAUAUCUCAUGGGACCCAUCUCCAUUUCCCAAUCCUUGAUGAAGUCUCCUUCAAGUUAACAUCCCUUCCUCUGAUUGAUUGAUAUACCACUUUUUCUCUUCCCUGAAAAUCUGGGAUUUCCAAUUUUUUAAAAUUUUCCCUUUUUCUUUAGUUUUUUAAAGUUUAACUCUCUUUUUUACACCUUGGAAUUAGCCAAUCCUGGAAGUCGCAUUCACAGAUCUCGUACGUGGCGAUAUUCUACUGGUUGACAUCUCCUGAGAAAUUCACAUCCUGUGGCAAUCAAACAUUAUAAAACUUUCACGUCACCAUUUAAGUGUUUCAACAUGUAAUCCUGACAUUCAUGACCAUGUUAUCGCUUCUUCACAAGACAACUCAACAUCAAAACUAUGAUAAGGCCAGGGCAGGGUCGGUGUGGGCCCUUAAGAUUGGAGUUCAACCUUUAUGAUAAGGCCAGUUCCAGUUUUUAAU
Molecule: long non-coding RNA, 914 nt
Filed under: Olea europaea (common olive)
Lineage: Eukaryota; Viridiplantae; Streptophyta; Magnoliopsida; Lamiales; Oleaceae
Description: long non-coding RNA (OEUR_LNC013578)
Source: RNAcentral